Molecule: long non-coding RNA, 476 nt
Organism: Ostrea edulis (European flat oyster)
Lineage: Eukaryota; Metazoa; Mollusca; Bivalvia; Ostreida; Ostreidae
Exons: 2
Source: RefSeq, a predicted model, not a curated record
UGAAGAACAGGGCGGCAGUCGUCAGGUGUAGGCAAAUUAUUUAUAGACAGGACAGCUCGACAGAGGACGCAGCUCAGAUGAAUCUCCGGAAAGAACUGAACAUCGCAGAGAAUGUGGAACUGCACGAAGGUUUUUAACGACGCCUCGCUUCGAUGUCCCGACAUAAACUUGGAAACCGACAUCAAGCAAUAUGGCUGCUGUGGCACGGAAGCAGUGUGGUGUGUAAGUCUUAAUGCACUUUGACGACUUAUCGGCCAUACAUCCUGUGAACGACCUUUUUGCUAAAGCCUAAUGUCAUCGUCUAGCAGUAGGUACAAUUCCGCAUCACCGAUGACCAAGGUGAAGUUGUAGCAGACGAAAUUUUAGACAUAUGGCCUAGUAGGCUAGUAACUAAAGACAUUGUUUACAGUUAUGCUUUUAUCAAUUAUUGAUGAAAGUCCACUGCUUGGGAUACAAAUAAAACCGUAAAUACAUUU